UACGGAGGGGGCUAGCGUUGUUCGGAAUUACUGGGCGUAAAGGGCGCGUAGGCGGUCGGGUGUGUCGGGCGUGAAAGCCCCUGGCUCAACCAGGGAAUUGCGUCCGAAACUGCCCGACUCGAGUCCGGGAGAGGAGAGCGGAAUUCCCAGUGUAGCGGUGAAAUGCGUAGAUACUGGGAGGAACACCGGUGGCGAAGGCGGCUCUCUGGACCGGUACUGACGCUGAGGCGCGAAAGCUAGGGGAGCAAACAGG
This 253-nucleotide ribosomal RNA is filed under the name uncultured bacterium. Its description in RNAcentral is "partial 16S ribosomal RNA". It matches the Rfam family "Bacterial small subunit ribosomal RNA", at positions 524 to 776 of the family's 1533-position model. The record is from RNAcentral.